UCGAGCGGACGGAAGGGAGCUUGCUCCCGGAAGUCAGCGGCGGACGGGUGAGUAACACGUGGGCAACCUGCCUGUAAGACUGGGAUAACUUCGGGAAACCGGAGCUAAUACCGGAUAAUCCUUUCCUUCACAUGAAGGGGAGCUGAAAGACGGUUUCGGCUGUCACUUACAGAUGGGCCCGCGGCGCAUUAGCUAGUUGGUGAGGUAAUGGCUCACCAAGGCAACGAUGCGUAGCCGACCUGAGAGGGUGAUCGGCCACACUGGGACUGAGACACGGCCCAGACUCCUACGGGAGGCAGCAGUAGGGAAUCUUCCGCAAUGGACGAAAGUCUGACGGAGCAACGCCGCGUGAGCGAUGAAGGCUUUCGGGUCGUAAAGCUCUGUUGUCAGGGAAGAACAAGUACCGGAGUAACUGCCGGUACCUUGACGGUACCUGACCAGAAAGCCACGGCUAACUACGUGCCAGCAGCCGCGGUAAUACGUAGGUGGCAAGCGUUGUCCGGAAUUAUUGGGCGUAAAGCGCGCGCAGGCGGUCCUUUAAGUCUGAUGUGAAAGCCCACGGCUCAACCGUGGAGGGUCAUUGGAAACUGGGGGACUUGAGUGCAGAAGAGGAGAGUGGAAUUCCACGUGUAGCGGUGAAAUGCGUAGAGAUGU
RNAcentral lists this ribosomal RNA (654 nucleotides) under Bacillus mediterraneensis. Its description in RNAcentral is "bacterial SSU rRNA". It matches the Rfam family "Bacterial small subunit ribosomal RNA", at positions 62 to 699 of the family's 1533-position model. Lineage: Bacteria; Bacillati; Bacillota; Bacilli; Caryophanales; Bacillaceae. The record is from RNAcentral.